RNAcentral lists this long non-coding RNA (1113 nucleotides) under Homo sapiens (human). RNAcentral's name for it is "HSALNT0353160". Lineage: Eukaryota; Metazoa; Chordata; Mammalia; Primates; Hominidae. The record is from RNAcentral.
GUGAAGGAGUAGACACCUAGUACAAUUAUUUAUACUGUAUUUUAACAUCAUCAGGAAUACAAAGCAUAUCAAUUCAGGUCUGAAUAUAAAAAUCCUUAUUCUGAGGGAGUUAGCCUAUAUCUCUCGCUAUAAUUAAUUGAUAGAAAAUCUUUUUUUAUUAAGGAGUAAAAGAGUAAAAGAGGUAAAACAGAGAACAUAAAAGAAGUUCUACCAACUAGGAAAGCAUUUGUACCAAAUUCUGGUCUUUGAGAAUUCCUGGAUGUUUCUUAAAUUAUCAACUGAGGAAAAAGAUAAGUGUCCUAUAACCAUUAGGUCUACAUUAUUUAAGAAGAUCUAUGUACCUUCAUUCUCCAAAUCUGACUUUUGUAAAAAAGAAAACCAAAUGUCCAGAGCUAUUAUAGUAUUCAUACCACCCAAGGCUGCCUGAUGCAAAGUCCAUGACACUGCUCAUGUAUCACUUGCCUUUCAUUUCUUAUCCCUCUGACUGUAACAACCAGAUGGAUCUCACGUGAACAAAUCAUUUCCCUUCAUAAAAUGAGGAAACAGAAACCAGAAUUCAUGAACCUGCUAAACCAAAACUCAUGAAUCUGCUAAUUACGUCUUUUCCAUAAUAGAGAUUCUUUGAUAAUUCUUAAAACUGUGUGUGUAUAUAUUUACCAACCACACACAAACUAAAAUUUAUAUUGAUAUUUAUAUUGUCUUGAUUAUGUCUACUUGGUAAGACUGAACAGCAUAUAAAUAUUAUUUCAAAAAUGACAGACCAAACAAGUUGAAAUAAAUAUCCUCUAACAUCUCAACUUUGUGUGGUUAAAGGAAGAAAUAAAUUCAUGUAGAUAUUAAACUUGGUCAUGUCUGAAAAUAUGGCAAAGGAUACCUUUUUCACAUUGAAGAAGUAUGGACAUUAUCUCCAUCCAACUAUUCCCUCCAAAUGUAACUGUGUAUUCUCUUGUUUAUUAGUUUUUUUAUUAGAAAGAAGUAUGCUUAAAAGAAAAGGUAUACACAAAAUUCCAUAAAAUCAAACAAAAAAAAUCUGCUGAGACUGUAUAAAUACACUGUGAUAUUACACAUGGCUAAAAUUUUUUUAAUCUCCAAAUAAGGAAAAGAUUGUUUGGA